GAUCCUGGCUCAGGAUGAACGCUAGCGGCAGGCUUAACACAUGCAAGUCGAGGGGGCAGCAUAAUGGUAGCAAUACUAUUGAUGGCGACCGGCGGACGGGUGCGUAACGCGUAUGCAACCUACCCUUUACAGGGGGAUAACACUGAGAAAUCGGUACUAAUACCCCAUAAUAUUCUGGGAGGCAUCUUUCGGAGUUGAAAGCUUUGGUGGUAAAAGGAUGGGCAUGCGUUGUAUUAGCUAGUUGGUAAGG
RNAcentral lists this ribosomal RNA (250 nucleotides) under uncultured bacterium. RNAcentral describes it as "partial 16S ribosomal RNA". It matches the Rfam family "Bacterial small subunit ribosomal RNA", at positions 15 to 257 of the family's 1533-position model. The record is from RNAcentral.